GAUACAUCAUGGGUUUAGGAGAACUCUGACCUGAAGCUGAUCUGUUGUCACUAAAUGCUCCAGCAUUAGUCCAUGUCACAAUGAGGUACUGGUGACCUAUGAGCCGUGCACAGUGCUGUGCCCCGGAAGUAUAAAACACUGGCCUCCCGGAGCUAAGCUAAACUGUUCACUCACUGCGAUGACGAGCACACCCACUGACGUGAGCGGCUUGCUCUGUGACUGUGUUAUUAUGGGCCUGGAGGAGAACCCCGACAAGGAAAAGCAGCAGAGUCCAAAUCCCCCAGAGACCCCUUGAAUGCAUUUACUCUACACACUGUGGCACUGGAAACCUCUUGAGUACCAUUCAGGAGUUCAGGCAUGGUGAGAACAAUUAGGGGCUUUAACAGGGGUAUUCAAAAGCCAAGCACUGAGAGCCACUGGAUUCAUUUGUUACAUUCAAAGUUUCUCCCUUGGCCACAUGAAGCUUUGUUUACACAAAAUAGCUGAUACCAUUUUAAGUCUCUCAGCUUUCCAUUUUUACUGCUGUGUUUAGCUCCUCUGACUGUGUUCCUUCUGAAAUAAAGUUGGCAAGAGGCUGGGAACAUCGUGGUACCCAUAGCCAGUGUCAUUUCUUCAAACAGGUAUGUUCGGCAGCUGCCUACUUAGGAAGACAAGAGGGCACUGCAAGAUCCAACCAGAAUAAGGGGAUGCCCCCUCUCCACCUUAUCAGCUACAAUGCAAUCUACUGAAGCCAUUGUUUUCUGGGUCAGAAAAAAAAAUUAAUGGCAUAUUUUCUCCAAAUGUCACUAUCAUACUGUGAAUAGGCAAAACCUAUUAUCCCCAACCUUUUCCUUUAGCAUAUUAAUAAUGGCUCAUAUGUUAGACAUCUUACUAAAAAUCAUAGAUACAUAUGGCUGUAUCUCCUUGACUUAGUAGUGUGUGGUGGUAGCUCAGCAAACCAAAUAUAAAUAAUAUUGCCAUCAUUAAUCACAAAUUGGUUCAUUAUCAUCAUCUAUGUAAACAGAGUGACCCUGUUGAUGAAGAAGUGAAGUAUAGAAUUCCAUCUCUUCAAAGUGGGAUCAAAUGUGGUUAAAAGAUAUUUCGAUAAGAGCUCUAGGUGGAUGACUUUGGAAGCAAGAAGGCAGCACACAACACUGACGGCAAUCCUAAAAGCCAGAGACGUUCAUUGCAGGAUGUGUGGGAAAGCCAAGGAAAAGGAGGGGCUCCAAAGAAGAGCAAUCCCUUGCAGGUAGGGAGAUACAAAGUUAAUGGGAAAGAGGACAGUAUGGAAAAGCAAGGAGGUCCCACGAGUGACCUAUUUUCCCAAAUUUCCCUGUAUUGUGUCUCCAGAUAUCAAAUGAUGUCAAGAAUGUACGGUGUCCAUAAAGAAAAGAUAAUAUCCACAGAUUCUAAGUGGUGAGCGAUUGUGAGUUAAUUAAGUGAGAUAGAGGCCGAAAGAUUAUAUACACUACAAUCAACUUCAACAGGAACAAUUAUUUAUCCUAAACUUCACACUACUAAAAAAAAAAAAAUCUUAUGUCAGGGCACAUUGCUACAUAACUAAAAUACUCAAUCGAGGACUCGUAUCAUAUCUGAAAAGUGGAAUCACACAUCAUGAGAGAGCAAACAAAUUUGUGAGAUCUUGGAAACAAUUUCAUUCCUCUGGUUUAAAACUAGGGGUGGUAGAAGGGGAGGAGGGCGGGGGGUGGGAGUGAAUGGGUGACGGGCACUGGGGGUUAUUCUGUAUGUUAGUAAAUUGAACACCAAUAAAAAUAAAUUUAAAAAAAUAAAAUAAAAUUUCUUUGUUGGCUAAAAUGACAUAAUGGGGCAUCCCUAUACUUCUACACUUUAUAUAAUUUUAUUAGAUUUGUAUGACACUACCGUAAUCAGCUCUGGCUACAUUUAUAAUAAUUCAUUUCCAGGCAGCCCCGGUGGCCCAGCGGUAUAGCGCCACCUUCAGCCCGGGGUAUGAUCCUGGGCACCCGGGAUCGAGUCCCACGUGGGGCUCCCUGCAUGGAGCCUGCUUCUCCCCCUGCCUAUGUCUCUGCCUCUCUUUCUCUCUGUGUCUCUCAUGAAUAGAUAAAUAAAAUUUUUUAAAAAAAUAAUAAUUCAUUUCCAUUUGACUACAAAUAAAAAGAAUGUUUAUUUUAUAUUUUAAAAUGUAAUUAUUCCAUAAUAUCAGACACUUUUAUGCUACAAUAGUUCAACUUUAAAAUUUAAAAGUGAAUUUACCUGUGUUGAAAUUUUAAAUAUAUAUUCUUCGAAAAUUAGAUCCUCCAAAUCUGCAUAUCCAAAAAAUCUAAUUCCUUUGACCCACAUUUCACCAUCAUAUGUACUUGCCUUUUGUUUUGUAUGUAAGAUAACAUGAUGCAUGUGCAUAUGCAACUAUUUUGGGUAUAGACAUAUAGGCCUUUUAUUUAUCAGAGCUGCAGGAGUUACUCUAAGAGGUCUAGAAUCUAGAAUAUAUACCAAAUUUUGUAUAAAUAAAUAAUGUAUUUCAAAAAUAUAAAUAGAUCUUGUUGUGACUAUACGCAAAUUCAUUUUAAAAGAAUGAUCACAUUCAUAAUUAUCAUUAUUAUUAUGAUGCAUUUGCUCAAUCAAGUGAUACUGAAAGUAUACACAAAUUCAUUUUAAAAGAAUGAUCAUAUUCAUAAUUAUCAUUAUUAUGAUGCAUUUGCUCAAUCAACUGACACUGAAAGUAUAACUAUGAUCAAGUGGCCUCCCAAUUUUUUUAAUUAUGAAGGGGAACUUUGUGGCAGAAAAUGAUGAAGAUCACUAAACUAAUUCACAGUUGUAUUACAUGUAAAUGUUGAUAGGGCAACAACCUACCAAUUAGUUCACUUUGAUCAGACCAUGACAAAAUAAACCACUAUGAAUAAUUUUAUGAUUAUUCAUACAGUGAUUUAUUUAUAAUUAUAAUUCACAUAAAGUGUAAGCUACAUAAUUAACAAACAUAUUGAAAGAGUGAUAGUCUAUAAUUAUAUGAUCACAAUUUACAGUCCACUGCAUUUUUUUUUCUGAGUCCAAACUCCACACACUAUUUCCUGACUUAGGAAGUAUUACAAAAUACAACCUAAUUUUACUCUUACAUAUAUAUUCUUAGAUCUGUAGCUCUUAUAUGAACAAAAUAGC
Molecule: long non-coding RNA, 3111 nt
Filed under: Canis lupus familiaris (dog)
Lineage: Eukaryota; Metazoa; Chordata; Mammalia; Carnivora; Canidae
Description: lncRNA (ENSCAFG00000056969.1, ENSCAFG00805023276.1)
Source: RNAcentral